Molecule: ribosomal RNA, 497 nt
Filed under: uncultured bacterium
Lineage: Bacteria
Description: partial 16S ribosomal RNA
Rfam family: Bacterial small subunit ribosomal RNA
Source: RNAcentral
GACGAACGCUGGCGGCGUGCCUAAUACAUGCAAGUAGAACGCUGACGAGAGGAGCUUGCUCUUCUUGGAUGAGUUGCGAACGGGUGAGUAACGCGUAGGUAACCUGCCUUGUAGCGGGGGAUAACUAUUGGAAACGAUAGCUAAUACCGCAUAACAAUGGAUGACACAUGUCAUUUAUUUGAAAGGGGCAAUUGCUCCACUACAAGAUGGACCUGCGUUGUAUUAGCUAGUAGGUGAGGUAAUGGCUCACCUAGGCGACGAUACAUAGCCGACCUGAGAGGGUGAUCGGCCACACUGGGACUGAGACACGGCCCAGACUCCUACGGGAGGCAGCAGUAGGGAAUCUUCGGCAAUGGGGGCAACCCUGACCGAGCAACGCCGCGUGAGUGAAGAAGGUUUUCGGAUCGUAAAGCUCUGUUGUAAGUCAAGAACGGGUGUGAGAGUGGAAAGUUCACACUGUGACGGUAGCUUACCAGAAAGGGACGGCUAACUACGUG